Molecule: transfer RNA, 76 nt
Filed under: Verrucomicrobiota bacterium
Lineage: Bacteria; Pseudomonadati; Verrucomicrobiota
Also listed under: 1 other name
Description: Verrucomicrobia bacterium tRNA-Arg
Rfam family: tRNA
About the family: Transfer RNA (tRNA) molecules are approximately 80 nucleotides in length. Their secondary structure includes four short double-helical elements and three loops (D, anti-codon, and T loops).
Source: RNAcentral
GCUUCCGUAGCUCAAUUACCAGAGCGCGACGCUUCGAACGUCGGAGAUGAGGGUGAGAGUCCUUCCGGGAGUGCCA